This 591-nucleotide long non-coding RNA is filed under the name Equus caballus (horse). RNAcentral's name for it is "lncRNA (ENSECAG00000051902.1)". The record is from RNAcentral. Lineage: Eukaryota; Metazoa; Chordata; Mammalia; Perissodactyla; Equidae.
CACCUAGUGAAACUCAAAUUACUAUUUAAGGAAAUGACCAAUUUGCAUAGCCACCUGGAUUUUUACUGUCAACGACUUUGACUGGGAUUCAAAUGCUUGAACAGCAGGUUUAUUUCAUUCACUGAAGAUCCAGCUGGUGUAGCAGUUUGGGACGUGCACUAAAAGAUGCUUGGAAAUACCUGCUGGUCUUUCGGCUAUUGUGCUAUAAAACCAGGCUUUUCUGGAUGAAAUCCUGCAGCCCUAAAACAGGCAAAACUUGACUUAACUUCAAGGAAAGUUUUGGAUUUCAAUGGACCUUUGAAGUCUCUUCAAAAGAGAUAAGGACUUCAAUGGGAGGUUUGCCUAUACAGAGGACCACAGAGGCGGGCCAUUUGUAGCAAUUCAGUUCAUCUAGGAGCAGAAGUUGUCUGGUGAAAAUUGGUUCAGUGAGGAGGGCUAAGUGACGCAUAGCUCACUGAAGAAGAGAGUUCAUCAAACAGCUGCAAUACAUUUAUAUAUAUAGUUGACAUUCCAUAAGAAGAAUUUUCUUUCUGGAAAAUGUGGUUCCUGAAUAUCCUGGAAUUUCUGGAGUCCUUUCAACUUAGAAGACAG